GACGUAGGGCGCGAGCGUUGUCCGGAUUUAUUGGGCGUAAAGAGCUCGUAGGCGGCUUGUCGCGUCGAAUGUGAAAUUUUAGGGCUCAACCCUGACAUUGCAUUCGAUACGGGCAGGCUUGAGUUCGGUAGGGGAGACUGGAAUUCCUGGUGUAGCGGUGAAAUGCGCAGAUAUCGGGAGGAACACCAGUGGCGAAGGCGGGCACCUGGGCUAACACUGACGCUGAUGCGCGAAAGCUAGGGGAGCAAACAGG
This 253-nucleotide ribosomal RNA is filed under the name uncultured bacterium. Its description in RNAcentral is "partial 16S ribosomal RNA". It matches the Rfam family "Bacterial small subunit ribosomal RNA", at positions 524 to 776 of the family's 1533-position model. The record is from RNAcentral.